Molecule: ribosomal RNA, 497 nt
Filed under: uncultured bacterium
Lineage: Bacteria
Description: partial 16S ribosomal RNA
Rfam family: Bacterial small subunit ribosomal RNA
Source: RNAcentral
GAUGAACGCUGGCGGCGUGCCUAAUACAUGCAAGUCGAGCGAACGGACGAGAAGCUUGCUUCUCUGAUGUUAGCGGCGGACGGGUGAGUAACACGUGGAUAACCUACCUAUAAGACUGGGAUAACUUCGGGAAACCGUAGCUAAUACCGGAUAAUAUUUUGAACCGCAUGGUUCAAAAGUGAAAGACGGUCUUGCUGUCACUUAUAGAUGGAUCCGCGCUGCAUUAGCUAGUUGGUAAGGUAACGGCUUACCAAGGCAACGAUGCAUAGCCGACCUGAGAGGGUGAUCGGCCACACUGGAACUGAGACACGGUCCAGACUCCUACGGGAGGCAGCAGUAGGGAAUCUUCCGCAAUGGGCGAAAGCCUGACGGAGCAACGCCGCGUGAGUGAUGAAGGUCUUCGGAUCGUAAAACUCUGUUAUUAGGGAAGAACAUAUAUGUAAGUAACUGUGCACAUCUUGACGGUACCUAAUCAGAAAGCCACGGCUAACUACGUG